Long non-coding RNA from Galeopterus variegatus (Sunda flying lemur), 557 nucleotides. RefSeq lists it as uncharacterized. NCBI's taxonomy places the organism in Eukaryota, Metazoa, Chordata, Mammalia, Dermoptera, Cynocephalidae. The record is from RefSeq and is a predicted model, not a curated record. The transcript is spliced from 3 exons.
CCCCUGGACCCUGGACUUUCCAGUCUCUGAAACUAUGUGAUCAACAGUUGAAUGGACCACCAUGUCACGAUUAGACACAAUGAAAUGAUCAUCUGUGUCAGAACAGAUGAAGGAACUGAUAUGAAGAGGAGUCGAGUAAUUUAUCCAAGGACACAUGGCUGGUAAAUAAAUAGGCUCUGACUUGAAAACAUCUCACAGAACCUUAGCCUGGGCUCCAGGGAUAGAAUAGAGUGGAAUGGCACAGAUCAGAACCUUCCAUCACCACGGUAGCUUCCCAGUGGCUGAUCCACACCAGUGGACUUGGAAUAGGCUUUGAGUUGCUGUGUGUUAAAGGUAAAUUAUAGUAAUAUAUCAAUAGAAACAGUAAUAUAUUUUCUGUGUAUAUACAGUCAAUGCUUGUUAUUGUGGUAGUUAUGUUCUGUAGUCACCACAAACCCUGAAUUAGCAAAUACUGAGCUGUUGCUCCUAAGAAAAGUAGGUUCCCGCAAACGUCUGCCCACUACAUUUUUGUCAACCAAUCAAUACAUAACCUUAUUCUAUGUAUGUUUCUGUUUGAA